GGGGUCAGUGGAGGGGCUCGCGGCCUAUCAGCUAGUUGGCGAGGUAACGGCUCACCAAGGCGAUGACGGGUAGCUGGUCUGAGAGGAUGGCCAGCCACAUUGGGACUGAGAGACGGCCCAGACUCCUACGGGAGGCAGCAGUGGGGAAUCUUGCGCAAUGGCCGAAAGGCUGACGCAGCGACGCCGCGUGGAGGAUGACGCCCUUCGGGGUGUAAACUCCUGUUGCCCGGGACGAAUACCUGUUUCGACAGGGGUGACGGUACCGGGUGAGGAAGCACCGGCUAACUCUGUGCCAGCAGCCGCGGUAAUACAGAGGGUGCGAGCGUUGUCCGGAAUCACUGGGCGUAAAGGGCGCGUAGGCGGCUCGGUAAGCGUGUGGUGAAAGCCCGGGGCUCAACCCCGGGUCGGCCAUGCGAACUGUCGAGCUGGAGCACGGUAGAGGCACAUGGAAUUCCGGGUGUAGCGGUGGAAUGCGUAGAGAUCCGGAAGAACACCGGUGGCGAAGGCGGUGUGCUGGGCCGUAGCUGACGCUGAGGCGCGACAGCGUGGGGAGCAAACAGGAUUAGAU
Molecule: ribosomal RNA, 568 nt
Filed under: uncultured bacterium
Lineage: Bacteria
Description: bacterial SSU rRNA
Rfam family: Bacterial small subunit ribosomal RNA
Source: RNAcentral